Molecule: ribosomal RNA, 485 nt
Filed under: uncultured bacterium
Lineage: Bacteria
Description: partial 16S ribosomal RNA
Rfam family: Bacterial small subunit ribosomal RNA
Source: RNAcentral
AUUGAACGCUGGCGGCAUGCCUUACACAUGCAAGUCGAACGGCAGCACGGGUGCUUGCCCCUGGUGGCGAGUGGCGAACAGGUGAGUAAUACAUCGGAACAUGUCCUGUAGUGGGGGAUAGCCCGGCGAAAGCCGGAUUAAUACCGCAUACGAUCUACGGAUGAAAGCGGGGGACCUUCGGGCCUCGCGCUAUAGGGUUGGCCGAUGGCUGAUUAGCUAGUUGGUGGGGUAAAGGCCUACCAAGGCGACGAUCAGUAGCUGGUCUGAGAGGACGACCAGCCACACUGGGACUGAGACACGGCCCAGACUCCUACGGGAGGCAGCAGUGGGGAAUUUUGGACAAUGGGCGAAAGCCUGAUCCAGCAAUGCCGCGUGUGUGAAGAAGGCCUUCGGGUUGUAAAGCACUUUUGUCCGGAAAGAAAUCCUUGGCCCUAAUACGGUCGGGGGAUGACGGUACCGGAAGAAUAAGCACCGGCUAACUACGU